UACGUAGGGUGCUAGCGUUGUCCGGAUUUAUUGGGCGUAAAGAGCGUGUAGGCGGCCUGAAAGGUCAGCUGUGAAAACUCGAGGCUCAACCUCGAGACGUCGGUUGAAACCAUCUGGCUAGAGUCCGGAAGAGGAGUGUGGAAUUCCCGGUGUAGCGGUGAAAUGCGCAGAUAUCGGGAAGAACACCCGUGGCGAAGGCGGCACUCUGGGACGGUACUGACGCUGAGACGCGAAAGCGUGGGGAGCGAACAGG
RNAcentral lists this ribosomal RNA (253 nucleotides) under uncultured bacterium. Its description in RNAcentral is "partial 16S ribosomal RNA". It matches the Rfam family "Bacterial small subunit ribosomal RNA", at positions 524 to 776 of the family's 1533-position model. The record is from RNAcentral.